GGCCAGGUAGCUCAGUCGGUAGAGCAGAGGACUGAAAAUCCUUGUGUCGGGGGUUCAAUUCCCUCCCUGGCCA
Molecule: transfer RNA, 73 nt
Filed under: Deltaproteobacteria bacterium RIFCSPHIGHO2_02_FULL_40_28
Lineage: Bacteria; Deltaproteobacteria
Also listed under: 3 other names
Description: tRNA-Phe
Rfam family: tRNA
About the family: Transfer RNA (tRNA) molecules are approximately 80 nucleotides in length.
Source: RNAcentral